GUGAGGAAUAUUGGUCAAUGGGCGAGAGCCUGAACCAGCCAAGUCGCGUGAAGGAAGAAGGAUCUAUGGUUCGUAAACUUCUUUUGCAGGGGAAUAAAGUGCGGGACGUGUCCUGUUUUGUAUGUACCCUGAGAAUAAGGAUCGGCUAACUCCGUGCCAGCAGCCGCGGUAAUACGGAGGAUCCGAGCGUUAUCCGGAUUUAUUGGGUUUAAAUGGUGCGUAGGUGGUUUGAUAAGUCAGCGGUGAAAGUUUGCAGCUUAACUGUAAAAAUGCUGUUGAAACUGUCGGACUUGAGUGUAAAUGAGGUAGGCGGAAUGCGUGGUGUAGCGGUGAAAUGCAUAGAUAUCACGCAGAACUCCGAUUGCGAAGGCAGCUUACUAAGCUACAACUGACACUGAAGCACGAAAGCGUGGGGAUCAAACAGGAUUAGAAACCCCAGUAGUCC
RNAcentral lists this ribosomal RNA (445 nucleotides) under uncultured bacterium. RNAcentral's name for it is "partial 16S ribosomal RNA". It matches the Rfam family "Bacterial small subunit ribosomal RNA", at positions 354 to 796 of the family's 1533-position model. The record is from RNAcentral.